This 183-nucleotide ribosomal RNA is filed under the name uncultured fungus. Its description in RNAcentral is "partial 18S ribosomal RNA". It matches the Rfam family "Eukaryotic small subunit ribosomal RNA", at positions 228 to 375 of the family's 1831-position model. Lineage: Eukaryota; Fungi. The record is from RNAcentral.
GCCCUUCGGGGCUCUUUGGUGAUUCAUGAUAACUUUUCAGAUCGCAUGGCCUUGCGCCGGCGACGGUUCAUUCAAAUUUCUGCCCUAUCAACUUUCGAUGGUAAGGUAUUGGCUUACCAUGGUUUCAACGGGUAACGGGGAAUGGGGCGGGGGCGGCGGGCCGGGCGCGGGGCGCGGCGGGCG